AUGAACGCUGGCGGCGUGCCUAAUCCAUGCCAGUCGAGCGAACGGACGAGAAGCUUGCUUCUCUGAUGUUAGCGGCGGACGGGUGAGUAACACGUGGAUAACCUACCUAUAAGACUGGGAUAACUUCGGGAAACCGGAGCUAAUACCGGAUGAUAUUUUGAACCGCCUGGUUCAAAAGUGAAAGACGGUCUUGCUGUCACUUAUAGAUGGAUCCGCGCUGCAUUAGCUAGUUGGUAAGGUAACGGCUUACCAAGGCAACGAUGCAUAGCCGACCUGAGAGGGUGAUCGGCCACACUGGAACUGAGACACGGUCCAGACUCCUACGGGAGGCAGCAGUAGGGAAUCUUCCGCAAUGGGCGAAAGCCUGACGGAGCAACGCCGCGUGAGUGAUGAAGGUCUUCGGAUCGUAAAACUCUGUUAUUAGGGAAGAACAUAUGUGUAAGUAACUGUGCACAUCUUGACGGUACCUAAUCAGAAAGCCACGGCUAACUACGUG
This 496-nucleotide ribosomal RNA is filed under the name uncultured bacterium. Its description in RNAcentral is "partial 16S ribosomal RNA". It matches the Rfam family "Bacterial small subunit ribosomal RNA", at positions 29 to 507 of the family's 1533-position model. The record is from RNAcentral.